Molecule: small nuclear RNA, 150 nt
Organism: Mustela putorius furo (domestic ferret)
Lineage: Eukaryota; Metazoa; Chordata; Mammalia; Carnivora; Mustelidae
Gene: U12
Rfam family: U12 minor spliceosomal RNA
About the family: Although the U12 sequence is very divergent from that of U2, the two are functionally analogous.
Source: Ensembl
AUGCCUUCAACUUAAGAGUAAGGAAAAUAACGAUUCGGGGUGACGCCUGAAUCCUCAUUGCUAAUGUGAGACGGAUUUUUGAGCAGGUAAAGGUUGCUCCUAAGGUGACCCGCCUACUUUGCGGGAUGCCUGGGUGCUGCGAUCUGCCCG